Molecule: non-coding RNA, 465 nt
Organism: Camellia sinensis
Lineage: Eukaryota; Viridiplantae; Streptophyta; Magnoliopsida; Ericales; Theaceae
Source: RefSeq, a predicted model, not a curated record
GCCGGGGGGAGAGAGAGAGAGAGUGAGUGAGUCCAAGAUUUGUACUAUUUCUGGACAAGAACUCAAGGAAAAGCUAUGGAGUAAAGAAAGAAAAUGAGAAAAGAAAAGGGGAAGUAGAGGAGAAUCAAUUAAAAUGCUGAAAUUAAAGCUUAAGGCCACGAGCUAUCGUUCGCUUGAUCAAUCUGAACUGUCUGCAUUAUCUAAUCUGCUAGUGGAGCCAUCUGUGGUCAGGCACCGGAACAAAGUUAGCGGCUUCAGCCUAAUUUCGUUUUGACAGCCAACCUAUGUGCCUCCCUGUGGAGGUUCCGGACAUGUCUAGUGGUUAUGACUAAGUGCAUAAAUUGAAGUUUUGUUUUCCUGUUCAGUUAGACAAGUUUUUGUAUAUUUUGUAAAUAGGGCUAAGUCCCUUUUUGUCUAGCUUAUAUGUGUGUAUAUAUGAUGUUGUAUAUAUGUAUGUAUAUAAAG